AGCCUGAUGCAGCAACGCCGCGUGAGGGACGACGGCCUUCGGGUUGUAAACCUCUUUUAGCAGGGAAGAAGCGAAAGUGACGGUACCUGCAGAAAAAGCGCCGGCUAACUACGUGCCAGCAGCCGCGGUAAUACGUAGGGCGCAAGCGUUAUCCGGAAUUAUUGGGCGUAAAGAGCUCGUAGGCGGUUUGUCGCGUCUGCUGUGAAAUCCGGAGGCUCAACCUCCGGCCUGCAGUGGGUACGGGCAGACUAGAGUGCGGUAGGGGAGAUUGGAAUUCCUGGUGUAGCGGUGGAAUGCGCAGAUAUCAGGAGGAACACCGAUGGCGAAGGCAGAUCUCUGGGCCGUAACUGACGCUGAGGAGCGAAAGGGUGGGGAGCAAACAGGCUUAGAUACCCUGGUAGUCCACCCCGUAAACGUUGGGAACUAGUUGUGGGGUCCAUUCCACGGAUUCCGUGACGCAGCUAACGCAUUAAGUUCCCCGCCUGGGGAGUACGGCCGCAAGGCUAAAACUCAAAGGAAUUGACGGGGACCCGCACAAGCGGCGGAGCAUGCGGAUUAAUUCGAUGCAACGCGAAGAACCUUACCAAGGCUUGACAUAUACGAGAACGGGCCAGAAAUGGUCAACUCUUUGGACA
Molecule: ribosomal RNA, 635 nt
Filed under: Microbacterium sp. Se2Pt_1598
Lineage: Bacteria; Bacillati; Actinomycetota; Actinomycetes; Micrococcales; Microbacteriaceae
Description: bacterial SSU rRNA
Rfam family: Bacterial small subunit ribosomal RNA
Source: RNAcentral